Taeniopygia guttata (zebra finch) is the source of this 494-nucleotide non-coding RNA. NCBI's taxonomy places the organism in Eukaryota, Metazoa, Chordata, Aves, Passeriformes, Estrildidae. The record is from RefSeq and is a predicted model, not a curated record.
UGUGUGCUGCAAUUUUUGCUUGGGAAGUGCAAGGGCACAGAAAAGAAGAGGAAGAGGAUAUCUGUGGGGCUUUGUGGCAAUGGUCACACUGGGGCAAUGAGGUGCAUAGGGUGGCAGAAUUGCUUGCAGGACUGUCCUGCACUGCGCUGCUGGAGUUGAGCAGCCCUGAGACUUCCCCUGAGUGUGCCAACGCAAAAGAUCUCCCACUGAGGUCUUGGAAGCCAGGAGAAGCUAAAGCACGGGCUCAAAGAGACACUUCCUGCUUCGAGUGAAGACCUGAUCAAUAACAGACAUGAAGGACACGGCAGGGAACAGGAUUGUGGGAGAGUGAAUAAUUUUUACCAAAUGUCAUUUCAGGGUACCUCCUCUUGCUAGUCUUGUCUAUUUUAGGUACAACAGGAUGUCAUCAUUCUGGUUAUUCUUGCAAAUACAGAUGUACAGAUUGUGGAAAUAUACUAAGCACUGAACUAGGAGAUUUUCAAAUAAAUAUUAGC